GGAGCGGUAGUUCAGUUGGUUAGAAUACCGGCCUGUCACGCCGGUGGUCGCGGGUUCGAGCCCCGUCCGCUUCGCCA
RNAcentral lists this transfer RNA (77 nucleotides) under Methylocucumis oryzae. RNAcentral's name for it is "tRNA-Asp". It matches the Rfam family "tRNA". From Rfam's summary of the family: Transfer RNA (tRNA) molecules are approximately 80 nucleotides in length. Their secondary structure includes four short double-helical elements and three loops (D, anti-codon, and T loops). Further hydrogen bonds mediate the characteristic L-shaped molecular structure. tRNAs have two regions of fundamental functional importance: the anti-codon, which is responsible for specific mRNA codon recognition, and the 3' end, to which the tRNAs corresponding amino acid is attached (by aminoacyl-tRNA synthetases). tRNAs cope with the degeneracy of the genetic code in two manners: having more than one tRNA (with a specific anti-codon) for a particular amino acid; and 'wobble' base-pairing, i.e. permitting non-standard base-pairing at the 3rd anti-codon position. Lineage: Bacteria; Pseudomonadati; Pseudomonadota; Gammaproteobacteria; Methylococcales; Methylococcaceae. The record is from RNAcentral. RNAcentral also lists the same sequence under 3 other names.